Molecule: long non-coding RNA, 367 nt
Organism: Dendronephthya gigantea
Lineage: Eukaryota; Metazoa; Cnidaria; Anthozoa; Malacalcyonacea; Nephtheidae
Exons: 3
Source: RefSeq, a predicted model, not a curated record
ACAUCGCACACCUAUAACAGACCAUACAGUUGUACCAUACCCUACCAUACCGACGCACUAAACUCUGACACAACUCAACACCCUGAUCUCCGGCAGCUGAUCAUUGCAAAAUACUUCUUCAAAAGCGAGCGGUUAUACAGCAUCCUGAAACAGGGAACCUAGAACCAGCCGAUUCUAGAAUCAGCAAAAGGCGGCGACGAAGCUCCCGAGAGCCCGGGUGGACGACGUGAAAAUCUCUCGCUCGACGGCGAGAACUCGCCUGUGGAAUUCUCGACGGCUCCUACUAAACACUGUCCGAGAUGACUGCCCGGGAUGACUGCUUCAGAUGACUGCCUGAGAUAACUGCUCGAGAUGACUGCCCGAGAUG